RNAcentral lists this transfer RNA (87 nucleotides) under Candidatus Zixiibacteriota bacterium. Its description in RNAcentral is "candidate division Zixibacteria bacterium tRNA-Ser". It matches the Rfam family "tRNA". Rfam says of the family: Transfer RNA (tRNA) molecules are approximately 80 nucleotides in length. Their secondary structure includes four short double-helical elements and three loops (D, anti-codon, and T loops). Further hydrogen bonds mediate the characteristic L-shaped molecular structure. tRNAs have two regions of fundamental functional importance: the anti-codon, which is responsible for specific mRNA codon recognition, and the 3' end, to which the tRNAs corresponding amino acid is attached (by aminoacyl-tRNA synthetases). tRNAs cope with the degeneracy of the genetic code in two manners: having more than one tRNA (with a specific anti-codon) for a particular amino acid; and 'wobble' base-pairing, i.e. permitting non-standard base-pairing at the 3rd anti-codon position. Lineage: Bacteria; Pseudomonadati; Candidatus Zixiibacteriota. The record is from RNAcentral.
GGAGAGGUGUCCGAGUGGUCGAAGGAGCGUGCCUGGAGAGCACGUGUACCCUUACGGGUACCCUGGGUUCGAAUCCCAGCCUCUCCG